This 1017-nucleotide ribosomal RNA is filed under the name Ascagilis seychellensis. Its description in RNAcentral is "SSU rRNA". It matches the Rfam family "Eukaryotic small subunit ribosomal RNA", at positions 87 to 1113 of the family's 1831-position model. The record is from RNAcentral. Lineage: Eukaryota; Fungi; Ascomycota; Dothideomycetes; Jahnulales; Aliquandostipitaceae.
CUGCGAAUGGCUCAUUAAAUCAGUUAUCGUUUAUUUGAUAGUACCUUACUACACGGAUAUCUGUGGUAAUUCUAGAGUUAAUACGUGCUAAAAACCCCGACUUCGGGAGGGGUGUAUUUAUUAGACUAAAAGCCAACGCCCUCCGGGGCUCCUUGGUGAUUCAUAAUAACUCAACGAAUCGCAUGGCCUUGAGCCGGCGAUGGUUCAUUCAAAUUUCUGCCCUAUCAACUUUCGAUGCUAGGGUAGUGGCCUAGCAUGGUGACAACGGGUAACGGGGGAUUAGGGUUCUAUUCCGGAGAGGGAGCCCGAGAAACGGCUACCACAUCCAAGGAAGGCAGCAGGCGCGCAAAUUACCCAAUCCCGACACGGGGAGGUAGUGACAAUAAAUACUGAUACAGGGCUCUUUCGGGUCUUGUAAUUGGAAUGAGUACGAUUUAAACACCCUAACGAGGAACAAUUGGAGGGCAAGUCUGGUGCCAGCAGCCGCGGUAAUUCCAGCUCCAAUAGCGUAUAUUAAAGUUGUUGCAGUUAAAACGCUCGUCGUUGAACCUUGGGCCUGGGCGAUCGGUCCCCCUCACCGGGAGCACUGGUUCGGCCGGGCCUUUCCUUCUGGGGAUCCGCAUGCCCUUCGCUGGGCGUGCCGGGGAACCAGGACUUUUACUUUGAAAAAAUUAGAGUGUUCAAAGCAGGCCUUUGCUCGAAUACCUUAGCAUGGAAUAAUAGAAUAGGACGUGCGGUCCUAUUUUGUUGGUUUCUAGGACCGCCGUAAUGAUUAAUAGGGUCAGUCGGGGGCAUCAGUAUUCAAUUGUCAGAGGUGAAAUUCUUAGAUUUAUUGAAGACUAACUACUGCGAAAGCAUUUGCCAAGGAUGUUUUCAUUAAUCAGUGAACGAAAGUUAGGGGAUCGAAGACGAUCAGAUACCGUCGUAGUCCUAACCAUAAACUAUGCCGACUAGGGAUCGGGGUAUACUCAUUUUUGGUUGCCUCGGCACCUUACGAGAAAUCAAAGUGUUUGGGUU